This 1486-nucleotide long non-coding RNA is filed under the name Struthio camelus australis. RNAcentral's name for it is "lncRNA (ENSSCUG00000005622.1)". The record is from RNAcentral. Lineage: Eukaryota; Metazoa; Chordata; Aves; Struthioniformes; Struthionidae.
CUACAGCAAACUUUUCAAAGUGUUUCUGAAGACCAGGCUUGGCCAAGGCAGCCUUGGAUGUGCUACUGGUGACCUGCUCACUCUUCGUUGCUAAGGUGGAAAUAAGUCAAUGGACUCACUUACUUAGCUGCCAUGUUCUCCCUCUGAAUGCAUGAGGCUUUUUGGAUGAGUAUGUGGCACCCUGAAACUGUGAAGCAGCUGCAUAAGGUGCAUUUGCUUUGGAGAGGAUUAGCUCUUUCCAGUGCUAUCAGGAUUGUCUGAGCCAAUCUUCUGGGUUAACUCCACCUCACUGAGGACCUGACCCUCCUUGUUCCUGGAAUAAGAGAUGGCAUGUCUUUUGCUAGGAUCAGAGGUCCUCAAAAUGGAUCACAUCAUGUGACAGAGUGGGAGAGAAAAAAAAACAAGAAAAAUUCUGCAAUGAAUUUGCAAUCCAGAAAGAGAUACCUGCUCCUGCACUCAUCCCAUCUCAAGCCACCUGUAUUAUAGCUCUCUGCAAAAACACUACUAUCCUCUGGCCUGCAAAGCCAGAUAUCUGGAGAAGAAGCUUUGGGUGGGGAUUGCUGAGUGGAAGAAGGUUACAUUUCUGGUGAGUUCAGUCCUGGGACAAAUGGCUUUAAGUUUGCUGUUCCUACAUUAAACACCAUGAGAUUUUGAGACUUCUCAGCUUUGCUGCCUCCAUCUGUAAUACCUCCCUUUCUCAUAGCAGCUUUGUAGAGCUAAGCAAGUUAAGACAUGCAGAGCAUUUUAAGAAGUACACUAUACUCAGCUUUAUUAUUAAAGUGCUGAUGUGCUCUUUUCCUAAGAAAAGGUACUAGGUCUCCUAAAAAAAAAAAAAAAAAAAAAAAAAGCUUGAAGGAAUUUUUUGGAAGAAAAUUAAAUAUAGACCUGCUUUAGACUCUUUCUUAUCUCUGCAUGUACAUAACAGUCAAGCAUAGCAUCAUUUAAUUCUACGUUAGUCUAAUUGCUGGGUACCUACCACUUCCAUCUGUGCAUAUAAUAGUGAAUGCAUGCACUGAGGGCUUAACAACUCAGACACCAGCUCAGAUGAACAAACGCCCUAGAAUUAUCACUGAUAAAAUCAUCCAUACGUUUAAGCUCUUAAAUUAAGAGGACUGCCAGUGCAUGGCUAUGUACCAAAAAAACUAGAGAUGUGAACCGGAAGUGAUUAGAUUGCCCUGGUCAGGCUACAUCUGUAGUAAUAAUUAAAUGUGCCUGGGACCGUUUUCUAGCACUGCAAGCGCAGUGUCUGCGCCUAUAUUAUUAAACAGACAUAGCCCUCAAAACAGUAAUCCUGGUGGGAACAUUCCCCCCCAAAUUCUCAGGCACCUUUAGCAGGAAAUGCUAACUGACCUGGAUCACAAUCAUGACAGGGAUGGCUUAAAACAUCUAAUAGCUUAAAAAAUCUAAUCUCACUGCCAAGAAAUUUUCUCUGGAACUGUUUAAUUUACUAGUCUAAUUUGCUAGUGAGUCCGGCUCAAUAGAAGUG